RNAcentral lists this ribosomal RNA (435 nucleotides) under uncultured bacterium. RNAcentral describes it as "bacterial SSU rRNA". It matches the Rfam family "Bacterial small subunit ribosomal RNA", at positions 28 to 455 of the family's 1533-position model. The record is from RNAcentral.
GACGAACGCUGGCGGCGUGCUUAACACAUGCAAGUCGAACGAGGUCCACUGCGUAGCAAUACAAGGGAAGACCUAGUGGCGAACGGGUGCGUAACACGUGAGGAACUUGUCCCGGUCUCUGGGAUAACAGUUGGAAACGACUGCUAAUACCGGAUGACGUCGGAAUCUCGCAUGGGAUACUGACGAAAGGGUUACUGGAUCGGGAGAGCCUCGCGGCCUAUCAGCUUGUUGGUGAGGUAACGGCUCACCAAGGCAUCGACGGGUAGCUGGUCUGAGAGGAUGAUCAGCCACACUGGGACUGAGACACGGCCCAGACUCCUACGGGAGGCAGCAGUGGGGAAUCUUGCGCAAUGGGCGAAAGCCUGACGCAGCAACGCCGCGUGCGGGAAGAAGGCCCUCGGGUUGUAAACCGCUUCUAGUAGGAACGAAAAUAGA